RNAcentral lists this non-coding RNA (32 nucleotides) under Mus musculus (house mouse). Lineage: Eukaryota; Metazoa; Chordata; Mammalia; Rodentia; Muridae. The record is from RNAcentral.
UAGUCUUUGUGAUCCCCUAUGAGGCCUGUUUA